UGCGGGGUGGAGCAGUCUGGUAGCUCGUCGGGCUCAUAACCCGAAGGUCUCAGGUUCAAAUCCUGACCCCGCUACCA
This 77-nucleotide transfer RNA is filed under the name Deltaproteobacteria bacterium. RNAcentral's name for it is "tRNA-Met". It matches the Rfam family "tRNA". Rfam says of the family: Transfer RNA (tRNA) molecules are approximately 80 nucleotides in length. Their secondary structure includes four short double-helical elements and three loops (D, anti-codon, and T loops). RNAcentral also lists the same sequence under 5 other names. The record is from RNAcentral. Lineage: Bacteria; Pseudomonadati; Myxococcota; Myxococcia.